CAUCCAGACUCCUACGGGAGGCAGCAGUGAGGAAUAUUGGUCAAUGGGCGGAAGCCUGAACCAGCCAAGUCGCGUAAGGGAAUAAGGCCCUACGGGUCGUAAACCUCUUUUGCCGGGGAGCAAGGGCGGGGACGUGUCCCGGCCCGGAGAGUACCCGGAGAAAAAGCAUCGGCUAACUCCGUGCCAGCAGCCGCGGUAAUACGGAGGAUGCGAGCGUUAUCCGGAUUUAUUGGGUUUAAAGGGUGCGUAGGGGGGCUGUUAAGUCGGGGGUAAAAGCCCGGGGCUCACCCCCGGCGAGCCGUUGAAACUGGCUGUCUUGAGAUGUCGAGAGGUAUGCGGAAUGCGCAGUGUAGCGGUGAAAUGCUUAGAUAUUGCGCAGAACGCCGAUUGCGAAGGCAGCAUACCGGCGGCGAUCUGACGCUGAGGCACGAAAGCGUGGGUAUCGAACAGGAUUAGAUACCCCCGUACU
This 469-nucleotide ribosomal RNA is filed under the name uncultured bacterium. RNAcentral describes it as "bacterial SSU rRNA". It matches the Rfam family "Bacterial small subunit ribosomal RNA", at positions 328 to 794 of the family's 1533-position model. The record is from RNAcentral.